GUUUAUCUCUAUUACCUUUAGAGGUGUUAUAUGAACAUUCUGGCAAUUUAUGGAUUUAUGAUCCCAAGUUAUUCUUAUUUUGUGCAGCACAAAGUAAAAGGGGCAUAUGCAGUGCACAUGCACAAGUUCUACAUGGAAGAAAGGACUUAUGUAUCAAAGUAAACCUGAUGAACCAAUUAAGCAUCUAGAUGUUAUCCCGCGCCAUGCAAGGUUCUGAUAGAAUUCCUGCACCCUUCUGGAUACUUCACUUUCAUCCAUUAGCACAAAAUGUGAUAUUCUGUUACCUCAUAUUUGCAAGUAUCCUGUCUUUCAUUUCAAUCAAGUAUAAUGUUGGUAUAUUUCAUGACUCACCCAUGUUAAUUUAGCUACUGUUAUUUUAGCAAUUCAAUGCAGAAAGGGGCAACUUUUCCUAAAUAUUAUAUCUUGAAUUGAUUUUGAUUGGUAUUUCUCUAUAUUUCCAGCAUUUGGACAUAGAAUGUCAUUGAUUGGUUUAUUUUCAAGUGACUAAAACAUUUCAAAUUACUCCUUACAUCUUAUCAAAGUUAGUAAUCUUUUCUACAAAUUAAAAACAAAAAUAAAUGAAAAUGUGAUGUGUAAUGUAGUAUAUACAGAAGAUGACUUUUUCUUGCUCCCUUUAAGUUGCAACUAAUCAGAAACA
Asparagus officinalis (garden asparagus) is the source of this 658-nucleotide long non-coding RNA. RefSeq lists it as uncharacterized. The record is from RefSeq and is a predicted model, not a curated record. NCBI's taxonomy places the organism in Eukaryota, Viridiplantae, Streptophyta, Magnoliopsida, Asparagales, Asparagaceae. The transcript has 3 exons.